This 502-nucleotide ribosomal RNA is filed under the name uncultured Desulfobulbus sp. Its description in RNAcentral is "bacterial SSU rRNA". It matches the Rfam family "Bacterial small subunit ribosomal RNA", at positions 903 to 1382 of the family's 1533-position model. Lineage: Bacteria; Pseudomonadati; Thermodesulfobacteriota; Desulfobulbia; Desulfobulbales; Desulfobulbaceae. The record is from RNAcentral.
CCCGCUCAGAAACGUAAAAGGAAGUUAGACGGGGGCCCGGCGACAAGCGGUGGAGUAUGUGGUUAAUUCGAUGCAACGCGAAGAACUUACCUGGUCUUGACAUCCCGGAGACCCUUAGGAAACUAGGGGUGCUUCCAUCUGGAAGAAUCUGGAGACAGGUGCUGCAUGGCUGUCGUCAGCUCGUGUCGUGAGAUGUUGGGUUAAGUCCCGCAACGAGCGCAACCCUUGCCUUUAGUUGCCAGCAGUUCGGCUGGGCACUCUAAAGGGACUGCCGGUGUUAAACCGGAGGAAGGUGGGGAUGACGUCAAGUCCUCAUGGCCUUUAUGACCAGGGCUACACACGUACUACAAUGGCCGAUACAAAGGGCAGCGACACUGCGAGGUGAAGCCAAUCCCGUAAAAUCGGUCUCAGUCCGGAUUGGAGUCUGCAACUCGACUCCAUGAAGUUGGAAUCGCUAGUAAUCGUGGAUCAGCAUGCCACGGUGAAUACGUUCCCGGGCCUU